ACUGACCAGUGAGCCGCCCGGCCAACACCUGAAGACCCAACAGUCUUGGGAGAGGCUUCCGAGAAGGCAGGGCGCCUCUGGGGAGGGGAGACCUGAGCCGAGGAGGAGGCGGCGAUCGGGAG
Molecule: long non-coding RNA, 122 nt
Filed under: Monodelphis domestica (gray short-tailed opossum)
Lineage: Eukaryota; Metazoa; Chordata; Mammalia; Didelphimorphia; Didelphidae
Description: lncRNA (ENSMODG00000036752.1)
Source: RNAcentral